RNAcentral lists this ribosomal RNA (253 nucleotides) under uncultured bacterium. RNAcentral's name for it is "partial 16S ribosomal RNA". It matches the Rfam family "Bacterial small subunit ribosomal RNA", at positions 524 to 776 of the family's 1533-position model. The record is from RNAcentral.
UGCGGAGGGGGCCAGCGUUGUUCGGAAUUAUUGGGCGUAAAGGGCGCGUAGGCGGUCGAGUAAGUCUGACGUGAAAUCCCUUGGCUCAACCAAGGAACUGCGUCUUAAACUGCUCGGCUUGAGUCCGGGAGAGGGUAGUGGAAUUCCCAGUGUAGCGGUGAAAUGCGUAGAUAUUGGGAGGAACACCGGUGGCGAAGGCGGCCCUCUGGACCGGUACUGACGCUGAUGCGCGAAAGCGUGGGGAGCAAACGGG